CAGCCGCCACGGGAACACGAAGGGUGCAAGCGUUAAUCGGAAUUACUGGGCGUAAAGCGCGCGUAGGCGGCUUUUUAAGUCAGAGGUGAAAGCCCGGGGCUCAACCCCGGAAUUGCCUUUGAAACUGGAAAGCUAGAAUCUUGGAGAGGUCAGUGGAAUUCCGAGUGUAGAGGUGAAAUUCGUAGAUAUUCGGAAGAACACCAGUGGCGAAGGCGACUGACUGGACAAGUAUUGACGCUGAGGUGCGAAAGCGUGGGGAGCAAACAGGAUUAGAUACCCCUGUAGUCCCUGUCUCUUAUAC
This 301-nucleotide ribosomal RNA is filed under the name uncultured bacterium. RNAcentral describes it as "partial 16S ribosomal RNA". It matches the Rfam family "Bacterial small subunit ribosomal RNA", at positions 509 to 807 of the family's 1533-position model. The record is from RNAcentral.